GACGAACGCUGGCGGCGUGCUUAACACAUGCAAGUCGAACGGAACGGCCCUGCUUUUGUGCGCAGCUCGAGUUGCCAACGGGUAAGUUACCCGUGAGUAACCUGUCCUUGCCUUUGGGGUAACUUCAUGACACUUGGUCUCAUCCCGGCUAGGAUCUCUUGCUUUUUGGUGGGCGUUGGAUGGUUUCGGCGGUUGGGGAUGGAAUCGCGGCUUAUCAGCUUGUUCGUUGGGUAGUGUCUUAGCAAGGCUUUGACGGGUAGCCGGCCUGCGAGGGUGAGCGGCCAAAUUGGGACGGAGAUACGGCACAGACUCCAAUGGGACGCAGCAGUGGAGAAGAGUGCACAAUGGGCGGAAGCCUGAUGCAACAAAGCAGCGUGCGGGAUGACAGCCUGCGGGUUGUAUACCGCUUUCGCCUGUGACGAAACGUGAGUGACGGUAAUGGGUAAAGAAGCACCGGCUAACUACGUG
This 468-nucleotide ribosomal RNA is filed under the name uncultured bacterium. Its description in RNAcentral is "partial 16S ribosomal RNA". It matches the Rfam family "Bacterial small subunit ribosomal RNA", at positions 28 to 507 of the family's 1533-position model. The record is from RNAcentral.